GCGGUUGUGGUGGAACGGCAGACACACCAUCUUGAGGGGGUGGCGGGGAGACCUGUGUGGGUUCAAAUCCCACCAACCGCACCA
This 84-nucleotide transfer RNA is filed under the name Dendrosporobacter quercicolus. RNAcentral describes it as "tRNA_Leu_GAG". It matches the Rfam family "tRNA". Rfam says of the family: Transfer RNA (tRNA) molecules are approximately 80 nucleotides in length. Their secondary structure includes four short double-helical elements and three loops (D, anti-codon, and T loops). Further hydrogen bonds mediate the characteristic L-shaped molecular structure. tRNAs have two regions of fundamental functional importance: the anti-codon, which is responsible for specific mRNA codon recognition, and the 3' end, to which the tRNAs corresponding amino acid is attached (by aminoacyl-tRNA synthetases). tRNAs cope with the degeneracy of the genetic code in two manners: having more than one tRNA (with a specific anti-codon) for a particular amino acid; and 'wobble' base-pairing, i.e. permitting non-standard base-pairing at the 3rd anti-codon position. RNAcentral also lists the same sequence under 1 other name. The record is from RNAcentral. Lineage: Bacteria; Bacillati; Bacillota; Negativicutes; Selenomonadales; Sporomusaceae.